AUUGCACAAUGGGCGCAAGCCUGAUGCAGCGACGCCGCGUGAGGGAUGACGGCCUUCGGGUUGUAAACCUCUUUCAGCAGGGAAGAAGCGCAAGGGGCGGUACCUGCAGAAGAAGCGCCGGCUAACUACGUGCCAGCAGCCGCGGUAAUACGUAGGGCGCAAGCGUUGUCCUGAAUUAUUGGGCGUAAAGAGCUCGUAGGCGGUUUGUCGCGUCUGCUGUGAAAACGCGAGGCUCAACCUCGCGCCUGCAGUGGGUACGGGCAUACUAGAGUGCGGUAGGGGAGACUGGAAUUCCUGGUGUAGCGGUGGAAUGCGCAGAUAUCAGGAGGAACACCGGUGGCUAAGGCGGGUCUCUGGGCCGUAACUGACGC
RNAcentral lists this ribosomal RNA (371 nucleotides) under uncultured bacterium. Its description in RNAcentral is "bacterial SSU rRNA". It matches the Rfam family "Bacterial small subunit ribosomal RNA", at positions 363 to 746 of the family's 1533-position model. The record is from RNAcentral.